Molecule: ribosomal RNA, 253 nt
Filed under: uncultured bacterium
Lineage: Bacteria
Description: partial 16S ribosomal RNA
Rfam family: Bacterial small subunit ribosomal RNA
Source: RNAcentral
UACGGAGGGAGCAAGCGUUACUCGGAAUUAUUGGGCGUAAAGGGCGCGUAGGCGAUUUAACAAGUCUUGUGUGAAAGCCCCGGGCUUAACUCGGGAAGUGCACAAGAAACUGUUGAAUUUGAGUUCCGGAGAGGAAGGCAGAAUUCCAGGUGUAGCGGUGAAAUGCGUAGAUAUCUGGAGGAACACCGGUGGCGAAGGCGGCAUCCUGGACCAACACUGACGCUGAGGAGCGAAAGCCAGGGGAGCAAACGGG